AAUAAAUAGAAUCACCAUGGCAAAUCCGGAACAACUAAGAGAGGCUUUUAAAGGCAAGAUUGCCUUCUCCAGAAGCUCAUUCUUCAAGUCCCCUCCCCAUGCAAGCAAAGAAAGGCAUGCGCUGUGAAAGUUGCAUGGCAUGACAUCCUCUCAAACGCUACCUGACAGACUGCUGCAAUCACCCUGUGAAUAUUGUCUUCAUUUCCUUGUUGAUUGGUUUGAACCUGGGGUCAUUAUCUCUGCUUUGCAAAUGAAGAAGAGAAAGAAGCUCAAAAAGGACAAGAAACUUUCCCCAAAUCGAACAGGUAGUAAGUGAU
Long non-coding RNA from Homo sapiens (human), 317 nucleotides. RefSeq lists it as uncharacterized. The record is from RefSeq and is a predicted model, not a curated record. Lineage: Eukaryota; Metazoa; Chordata; Mammalia; Primates; Hominidae. The transcript has 3 exons.